GACGAACGCUGGCGGCGUGCUUAACACAUGCAAGUCGAACGGAAAGGCCCUGCUUUUGUGGGGUGCUCGAGUGGCGAACGGGUGAGUAACACGUGAGUAACCUGCCCUUGACUUUGGGAUAACUUCAGGAAACUGGGGCUAAUACCGGAUAGGAGCUCCUGCUGCAUGGUGGGGGUUGGAAAGUUUCGGCGGUUGGGGAUGGACUCGCGGCUGAUCAGCUUGUUGGUGGGGUAGUGGCUUACCAAGGCUUUGACGGGUAGCCGGCCUGGGAGGGUGACCGGCGACAUUGGGACUGAGAUACGGCCCAGACUCCUACGGGAGGCAGCAGUGGGGAAUAUUGCACAGUGGGCGGAAGCCUGAUGCAGCAACGCCGCGUGCGGGAUGACGGCCUUCGGGUUGUAAACCGCUUUCGCCUGUGACGACGCGUGAGUGACGGUAAUGGGUAAAGAAGCACCGGCUAACUACGUG
Molecule: ribosomal RNA, 468 nt
Filed under: uncultured bacterium
Lineage: Bacteria
Description: partial 16S ribosomal RNA
Rfam family: Bacterial small subunit ribosomal RNA
Source: RNAcentral